GCAUUGGUGGUUCAGUGGUAGAAUUCUCGCCUGCCACACGAUAAGCCCGGUUUGAUUCCCCGGCCAAUGCA
This 71-nucleotide transfer RNA is filed under the name Alosa alosa (allis shad). Its description in RNAcentral is "tRNA-Gly". It matches the Rfam family "tRNA". Rfam says of the family: Transfer RNA (tRNA) molecules are approximately 80 nucleotides in length. Their secondary structure includes four short double-helical elements and three loops (D, anti-codon, and T loops). The record is from RNAcentral. Lineage: Eukaryota; Metazoa; Chordata; Actinopteri; Clupeiformes; Clupeidae.